This 67-nucleotide transfer RNA is filed under the name Garrulus glandarius (Eurasian jay). Its description in RNAcentral is "tRNA-Cys". Lineage: Eukaryota; Metazoa; Chordata; Aves; Passeriformes; Corvidae. The record is from RNAcentral.
GGCUCUGUAGUGAAGUUCAUGGUGAGUUGCAAGCUCAUUGAUGUGCACUAGCUGUGCACCGGGGCCU